GUUUCUUUACUUUUAUUACCAUCGAUAAAAAUGAUAUGAGUCAAUACAAAGUUGUGUUUGAUAUGAUAUAACAAUUACAUGGUUAUUUUAAUACAACAAACAGUAAAAGGAUUUGCAGUAGUUAUUUGACUAAAUUCUACACUUAACAUGCAUUAAAAGUACUAGUUAUAACUCAAAAUUACCUGAAAACCAAAGUGAUAAUGUGUUAUUUUUAAGGAUGAACUGUAUACAUAGAAUGUCCAUCCAAAUUGACUUCAUAUACACACUUUCAGCAGCCCGAGUUUAUUGUAUGAUAUUGCUUUAUAAAACAUAUGAUAAAACAAUUAAUUCAAGAACUAAAAAAAGUCAGGAAAAAUAAAACACUGUUCGACUUUAAAUAUGAUUACCAUCGACUGUUUAAAAAACCUUUUGAAUUAAAAAAAAAUGAAGUUUAAAAGUUUGGAGACCUCAAUUAUGUCAAUUGAUUAGCAUGCAAAAAACACUGAAAAUCAAUGAAAAAGAUGAAAGACCUGUUCAAAAUAACAAUGAGCCAAAUCUGAACUCAUACAAUGUAUGAAGUUUCCAAAUGAUUGUAUGGACUUCACAAUAUCAAUUUUGGAGAAAAGUUUUACCAAUCAGAUAAAAGUCCAAUUGGGGCUAUAUUUCCUUAUCUGCUUUAUCUGAAAACUUUGCUUCCUGAUAUUUCUUUUUGUAGGUUAAGGUAGUACAACAAUCUUUUGUUAUCUAUAGUUAAUUGUCCUCCUUUAUUUUUUUUAUACUUUACUACUAAAGGUAACAAUGGAUUCUGGACCAAUACUGUGAGGCAAAUUAUAAUUCUUUGUGUAUACUAUUUUUACAAUGUAUUUUGGUCCCAUCUAAAAUAUUAGAAAAAAAUUAGCAAAUGCUAACUGUUACACCAUAAAUUUAUUUCUCUUUCACAAAAAAUCACAAUUUAUAUAUGUGUAAUAAAGGAUAAGAACUGAGAAGAAUAUAAACAUGUAAAUGAUAACAUCACAACAGUACAUAUUAAGAUGAUUCUAUAAGUAUGCCAAUAAUGGCAGUGAUACCAAUAAUAUGGCACAAAGUCUAGUAUUGCACGUUCAUUUAUGUUUUUUAAUAUUAUAUGAGUAUAUACUAACCAGGCCUAUAACCUGCCUAAACAAACUCAUUUGAUUUAGAUACAAGUAUAUGCAUUAUAACAUACAUAACUUAAAAUUAUUAUCAAGCAUCCUUUCAAUUUAACUCAGCUGAACAUAAAAGGGGUAAUGAACAACCAAAUAAAAAUGCUUGAUAGAAUUUCUAUGGUCUGCAUGCCAUAGUACUUGAAAAUAGUGAGGUUUAUCGAAAUUAUAAUUCAACUAACUGUUUGCUGUCAAUGUUACAUACACAAGGCUAUAAGUAAGUAGUUGUAAUUAUUAUCUUUAAUGAUGACUUGUCUUUUAUAUCUCUUCUUAAUUGAACAAUUAACUUUUCUUAUUCCGAAUACAAUAAAAAUAGAUAUCAUACAUUAUAAGUAGCUACAAUAAAUGCACUUUUAAAUUCCCUGAGAACAUUAAAUACUGUAAACAGAAAGAGAAUACUAACAGUGUUUUAACUUAAACAAGUACUAAGAAAGCAAUUAAGUAAUUGGCAAUUAUAAAUCUCUUUUGAUUCAGAUAUAUGUGACAGAACAUGCAUUACAAAAAAUAAAAAAAUUACAAGCAUCAUUUUUAAGGUGCUUUUCUGAAAUUGGUUUUUGAUAACAGCCAAGAAUGACAGUUCAUUAUUGCAAAUGUUGUUUUUAUUAAUGAGGACAUAUACCGUAAGUUCCAUUUAAUUAAGUCUUUAUAGAGAUGUAAGUAAAACCCUAACACCUCUAUCCAUUUUAAAUUUAUCUGGUCUACCUUAACAGAAACUCACAGUUUAAUUGCAACCAAUUUGAUACUUUAAAAAUCACAGUAUCAUAGAAAAUUUAACUAUUUA
RNAcentral lists this long non-coding RNA (1941 nucleotides) under Mytilus galloprovincialis (Mediterranean mussel). The record is from RNAcentral. Lineage: Eukaryota; Metazoa; Mollusca; Bivalvia; Mytilida; Mytilidae.